GCUCCAAUAGCGUAUAUUAAAGUUGUUGCAGUUAAAAAGCUCGUAGUUGAAAAUCUGGUUGUAUUGGGCUCCUGCACUCGAUGCGUGAGUACCAGCAGCCAUCCGCUUGCAAGUACAUGUCCUUCCUUAACCGGUAGGCUGUAUGAGUAAGCAAUUUACCUUGAGAAAAACAGAGUGUUCCAGGCAGGUUUGUCCGGAAU
RNAcentral lists this ribosomal RNA (200 nucleotides) under uncultured eukaryote. RNAcentral describes it as "partial 18S ribosomal RNA". It matches the Rfam family "Eukaryotic small subunit ribosomal RNA", at positions 588 to 796 of the family's 1831-position model. The record is from RNAcentral.